AACUCCUAAAUCCAGACAAAAUACCUCUGUGGGAGGAGAAAAAAGAAAAGGAAUGAGCAGAGAAAUGCCUGUUCUUUAAAAAUCAGCUUUAAGCUGAAAGCCUGCACAACUUGAUUAUGCUUUUCCUCUUUGAAGCCCUGGCAUCCUGCUUCGCUCAAGUGUUUCCUGUGAGACAACUGAGCCUGCCUGCGUGGUCCUGGCGUGUUUCUAUUUGGCCUGAGAAGCUGAUCUUCACAAUUAUUGUCACCAAUUCAAGCCCAUCCAAGUAUCUGGCUUUGAGAAUAUUUGAAAUACUGCUGCCACUGUUUCAGAGACCCAGAUGUACUAGCUUGAAACAUUUAUGCUAUUAAAGGGGCUGUGAGAAAUUUUGGAUGAGGCUCAUGUUGACUUUGCAGCCAAGAUUUCACCCAUUUGUUGUAAGACUAGCUUUCAAACUUUUGAUCAAACCAUGGACUAACAGAUUCGUUUCCCCCACCCCUCAAAAUCUAAUUUGCAAAUAUAAUCUUCAGCCUGAGACCUAGGCUGCAAUUGCUACUGAUUGGAAUAGUGUGAGGGAAAUCAGGCUGAAUGAGGCUGUAUAAUUCUUUAUCUUAUAUCAGUAAUGAAAUGCCAGCAUUAGUUAAAAUAUCCACCAAAUGCCACAGGUUUAUACCUUAAGUGCAUUAUUCGCUCCUUGUUCUUUGGUAUUUCCCUGAGGGUGGAAAGGGCUGUAGUUAGAGGAGAAGAAACAAUGGUCUGAUCAAUCACAGACCUCUUGAAUUGCAAAUAAGACUCAGCAACCAGCUCGCAAUCCCCUGCGCUGGUCUGUUGAGCUUUCUGCAGCCCCCUCAUGUCAUUCUCCUAUGACUCUUUACAUAAUGCACACGCUGAAAUAUUUCUCACUGUUUAAUUUUUGGGAGCUUUUUAUAUUGCCAGUAAGGUGCUUUUAGGCUUGUAGAGCCUCUUGAAGCAGAGCCACUCUACGUUCCUGUCAGCACAGAGCCCGUGGUGUGGGAGGCAGGGUGACAGACCACUGACAGCUGCACCCUAACAGAGCACCUCUAUUGUACCUGAGUGCAAGCAGUUAUUAUCUUUCAUAUGAUGUGAAGAAAUGAGUAGUGAUCUGAGAAACGGUGCCGAGCUGCUGGUGUAGUCAAGUGCCUCGAGAUUUUACAACUGUCGUUAAAAAUGUGAAUAUUUCCUCUCAUCUCCUGCAAACACCAGCGUGGCCCCACUGGGAUCUCAAUGCUUUAGAGCCAUCCAGGUCUCUGUGACACAGCUGCCAGAAGGGACUGCCUGUGCUGCUGCUGCUGCAGGGAACAUCUGCAGCUCCCCGUGGUCUCCUCUUCCAUUACAGGGAAUUCUCGGGUGUUCCAGGCACAGAACAACAAAUAAUGCCUUCAUCCCCCAGGGCUUUCUCUUCGCCAUCUGAGAAAAUGUUUCACAAGUUUCUGCUGUGCAUUUAGAGCGGGAGUUUGCAGGGAGUUGUGUGAGUGUUCCCCCCUUUGCCUUGCCCUCAUGAUCGGGUUGAGACUGAAUGGCUGAUUUGAAAAUAUGCUCCAGAGAAACCAAAGCUAUUGAAGUCCUUCCUGGAUUCCUAGUGGAGAUGUAAAGGACUGGGAGAGUUGCAAAGGAACAGGAUAAUCCGAGCUUUUUCUUCUGUCUGUAAGCUGAAAAUCUUGAUGGAACAUGUGUGAGCUCCUGAGCAAGGCAAGCUUUGUUCAGUGACGCUUUUUAGUUAGAGAUGUGCUGAUGAUGGUUUCCAUGCAGUUGACAUCUGGCUCUUGGAAAAGGCUAAAAUGUUUUAUUACCCCGGUCUCAGACAAGGGCACACCUAAAUAGGAAGUCAUUUGAAAAAGAACUCUUCCCUGGCCUUUAUAUUUCGCUUAAAAUGUUUGACAAAAUUGGAUUUUAUUCUUGACUCAGCAAUAGAUAAAGAAUAUAAUGAGAAAGCAGCAAGUUGUGUGUAAAGCAAGCGGAGCUGCCUUGCCUUAAGACUGUUUCCAUUCAGGUGUCUGCUAUAAUAAUUCAGUGUACACUGCUUCCUUAUCAGAUUCUCCUAGAGAUCUCUGCUGUGUGCAAACAUAAAGGAACUUGGAAGCUGCUAAGCUUUCCAAAAUGUUAAUGUAAACAUGUUGCAUAUGUAGGACUAGUGAGCAUUUUCUAGGCCAAACACAUAUCAGACUGUGAUUAACUGAUUCAUUAGCUAAUAAUCAAUUGCUAUUGGUUUUGGGCAAGCCUGUGCCACGUGGGUUUGGCUUGCAGGGGUGGUUUAGCCUGUUACUUCUGCCCACUGCACGGAGGAAUCUCCAUCUGAACCAGGAGCUGUUGGGCAAUGAGCACUUCCAAGGAACAGCUUCCCUUGCUUGUUAAUUGGCAAUUACUGUAGGAAAAAAUAUCCAUGAUCUGGUGGCACCUAUCCCUCCACAAUGCCAUCCCAGACUUCAAAGCCUGUGUGGAUGAAUUCUGCCUCUGACGUCUGGUGAGGGUGCAGGAGUACAAGGAGGGGCAGAAUGAACCCACUGCUGAUAUCAACAGUAGGACCCCUUCUCUCCUGCUUGGCCUGGGUGAAUAAUUUGAGACUUAAUUUUAAUUGCAUUAAUCUUUUGCCCAGUAGCACAGCAGAUUGUGCCCAGAGAAGACUUCCACAGGAGUUGGGUUCCCAAGGACAAUAGCAUUGCUCAAUUAAACUAUCUCAUGUCUUGAUGCAUCAUUUAGGUUAUAUAAAUAUCCAGAUUUUUACUUUGAGUUUUAUUUGUGUCCCUUAACACUCCUGGAAAUACAGCUCUUAACUGAUCACAAUAAGAUCCUACUGAAAAAAGACUGGAAUUUCCUCAUUAAUAUCCAAUUUUGGUACAAUACAGUGUGGUAUUAAUGUCACUUUUGGUCAUGUACAGUUGUCCAGGGCCCUGACAUGGCUGGACAUAACAGCAUGACUUUUAUAACCUUGUUAUAAAAAGCAAUUAGGGGCAACAUCCAGCUCUGCAGCUACACAUCACGUGGAGAUGUAGGGAGCUUCCAACAGUGAAUUUAAUUAGCAGGAAACACAGAGUACUCUGUGACCUGCAGUGCAGAUAACACCGUUCCUGUCCAGCAAUGUUGGUUCCUUGCUCUGAAAGGGCACCAAAACUGCUCUGGUGCCAGACCCAUGCAUAACUUAGAGGCUGUCGAGGGACUGGAGAUGGAAACUUCCAACCAGGAAGGCUGAAUCAGGAAAUGAAAUGCUGUUAAAUCCCAUCUUGUACCAAGCAACAGCAUGGGCAGCAUGAAAACGCUGAGGAAUAAUCUAGCAGGAACCAUGUGCUAAUGCCAGCAGUAACUGGACAUGUCUCAGGAAUGUGUAUAACAGAUUUUGGUAACCAAAGCUGCACUGCACAGAGAAAUAAAAUGCUGCUUCACAUGUGUGAGUGC
RNAcentral lists this long non-coding RNA (3390 nucleotides) under Cyanistes caeruleus (blue tit). RNAcentral describes it as "lncRNA (ENSCCEG00000012170.1)". The record is from RNAcentral. Lineage: Eukaryota; Metazoa; Chordata; Aves; Passeriformes; Paridae.